GGGGUCGACUGGUUUUGACAGCGAGUGGAAUUAACUAGUAAGCACGUCGAGCGUUGUAUGUUUAGCUCGUAAAUCCAAAUGUACAAACUUAUAAACGGCGAAAAUAAUUACGCUUUAGCUGCUUAAUCUGAAUUAUAGUAAGAUUUGCCAAGUUCCUACUAGGUAGGAAAGCUGGAUUCUCCUCAAAAGCCCUGGUUUAUGGCGGUUGGAUUAGGAGAACCGUAAAAGUAAACCUAGGAACGGUAAUGCUUUAAAUCCGUUCUGACACUGAUAAAGCUAAGUUAAAAGUGGCAGUUUCUAGCCUUGCUUUUAGUCGAAAAUUUAAUAUGAAACUAAGCGUGUAGAAAGCUUUUUGAUUGCUUGUUUGGACGAGAGUUCGAUUCUCUCCGACUCCACUA
This 398-nucleotide transfer-messenger RNA is filed under the name Flavobacteriaceae. Its description in RNAcentral is "Flavobacterium sp000169355 Standard tmRNA". It matches the Rfam family "transfer-messenger RNA". From Rfam's summary of the family: Bacterial tmRNA, also known as 10Sa RNA or SsrA, is named for its dual tRNA and mRNA-like properties. Its role is to liberate the mRNA from a stalled ribosome. To accomplish this part of the tmRNA is used as a reading frame that ends in a translation stop signal. RNAcentral also lists the same sequence under 1 other name. Lineage: Bacteria; Pseudomonadati; Bacteroidota; Flavobacteriia; Flavobacteriales. The record is from RNAcentral.